This is a non-coding RNA of Onthophagus taurus, 109 nucleotides long. The record is from RefSeq and is a predicted model, not a curated record. NCBI's taxonomy places the organism in Eukaryota, Metazoa, Arthropoda, Insecta, Coleoptera, Scarabaeidae.
UGUGUUGAACGUGUUUAUUCUUUGAUAUAUUUUACCUUUUUACACCUUUGACUAUUUGGCUGAUGAUGACGAAAGUCGAAACAUGUACCAUGUAAAUUUAAAUAUAUUU